UCCGACGGGAACUACCCACCAAACUGCCUAAGUUACCCACUUAUGUACCUUUUCGCCAUGUGUUGUCUUGUAGGCCUAUAUAUAGACCCAAGACACCCCCCUUACCUCUUUAGACUUGUUUUGAACUCAAACCUAACUUUGAGCUUAGUCUCCCUUGGGUAUCAUCCCUCUGUAAUCAAGGCACCUUGGUUGUUGAUUUGGAACUUGUUGAGUGAGAUUCUAGUACAAGAUACUCUCUCUCCCUCACCAAGCUCUUCUUCUCCAAUCCCAAUCUCUCCCCGGGGAAUUCUACCGCGUGUCUCUUCCUCGGAGAUUCUAUUGGCGUGGUCCAUCGAGCCACGGAGGUAAGCAUCGGGUGUAUCGGGUUGUGUGUGUGCGUGAGUCUCGGAGUUCCUCGUGUUCAUCGCCGUGUUCUUCGUGUUCCUCGCGUUUUCCCACCUUUCCCCUUGGUUUCGAAGUCAAUCCGCGAGAUCGGGCCACACACGGGGUCUUAGACCUCAUCAAUGAUGCUAUCUUCUUGGCCAUGUGGUCUGGACUUGCAAGGUUUAGGACAUUCAGUGCGAUAUUGUUACAAUUUUAGAACCUCGAUACAUCACAUCUCUCUCAUGAUAUCUACAACUGCGAAAAUAUUAGUUAAACUGGAUGGUGUUGGAUGUUGAUUGAGUACUAGAUAUAAUUCGCUGUGAUUCACUCCAUCAAUACUCUGCCCCAUAGUAUGUUGAGGCUACAUAUUCAUUUAAUAUCCUCACUUACACAAUUCGCUAAAAUCAAAUAAAGAAUUUCCAUCAUCCUGGAGUGCAUCAUUGAAUUGGAGCUUAUAUAAUGUAGCCUUUUCGGAUGAUUUUGAUUUUCCCAUGUUAGAUUUAAGAUUUAUGUUACCCGAUCACAAUUUGAUUAUUCGACCAUACUUUCAUUUUUUACUUAACUGACUGGUCAAUGUAUUUAUAUUUAUGAAUCAAAUUAGUUACUAAGAUGGAUACAUCCUUUAGGUGUCAUACCAUAGUUGAAAAGGUGUAUAUAUUCAGAAAACAAAUAAUAAAAACGGUACACGUACAGUACCAUGAUUUGUGGCAUAUAAAUAUCAAUUUUAGAAAGCAUUCAUGGAACAAAGAAGCAAAGGAUAUUAGUGCAGUAGAGCUGAUCAUGCUAUUUAAAAACCAAAUCGUGGCUCUUUUGGUCCAUGUAGUUGAUGAUGGGGGCUCCACUAUUCUGUAGUUGGUCUGUAUAGUCUGCUGAUUUGGCACACCAAAGGGAAAUGCUUUAAUAUUUAUUGUUUUUCCACAGUCUGAAUUUCUAGCCAGUACACCGACGCUGGUGAGGCUGGCUUCCCCAGUUGCUGCAAAAAGUAGGUUGAGUAAGGUCUCUGAUAUGUAUGUAAGUAUGCCUAUAGUUUUUGUGUGCUUCUAUGACCCUCAGAUAGUUAGGAAACUGUAAAAUUGUUUCUUAAAUUCCAGACUAUCUUUUAGAUGCAUUCUGAUAGCGAUUGAUAUUUCAUAUUUCAUACAAAAAGUGAUUGCUAUUUCAUAUUUAGGUUGCUGGAACUUCUCAUUCCCUAUAGUGGUUGCUAUUUCACAUGAACCCAAUGUCAUUAUGGAGUUGUUCCUGGUUGACUCUGGUAUCAAUUCUUUAUUAGUGGUAAAUUCUUGCAUACCGUUUCAAAAAUACAAGAAAACUCACCAAUUAUGUUUUACUAAUCUACAAAUAAACCCAAUGUGUUGGCAACCUGCAGGGAAAACAUUGCAAAUUAAAGAUUGUUGUUGCAGUGGUUAAUAACCCCCAUGAUUGGAGGUUCAGUGUGCAAGGAUUGCAGGAGAAGGACAUACCCCAAUGAGAACACCUACAGAUGCUCUCACUGCCCAUGUAUAGAAGGAAGACCAACAUAAUCUUAUAACAGAGAUCAUAUUAAUGGAGCUAUCUCUUUGUCUUUGUUUGAAACUGAUUAAUACCACUGCUGGCACACAUGCAUAGGCUAUCCGUUAACCUAACAGGUAUUGAGUCUAAUGAGGAAAACAAAAUGGUACAAAAAUUCAGUACCGACCACUACAUCGGCCAAGAAAAAGCGGUGGGCGUGAGUCGUGAGCCUGGUGUUGCUCGAAGUGUAGGAGUUCCAGGAGGACCUGCUUCGCUCUCGCGGCCACGUGCAUAGGAUGCGGGAGGUGCACCAGGUGGCCGGGAUUGUGAACGGGUGUGAGGGUCUUCAGAACUGGAGCAUGGACCUCAUCUCCUUGCUGCCGCAAUAACUAACCACAAUACCAGAAAGUAUGCUCGAAAUGUAUUAUUGUUCAUGAUAUUCCUGUUCAGUAUUUUAGCAAGUUCUUUUCCUCAUAUGUCGAAGCUACAUCCUUUUCUUGGUUUCCUAAAUACCUCUCUUCUUCCUCAGAAUAAGUUCACGGGUCUGAAUUUUUUCUAUGACAUUACUGGUCUUGAGAAAUGCUCUUAUAAGUUGCGACAA
This is a long non-coding RNA of Lolium perenne, 2452 nucleotides long. RefSeq lists it as uncharacterized. NCBI's taxonomy places the organism in Eukaryota, Viridiplantae, Streptophyta, Magnoliopsida, Poales, Poaceae. The record is from RefSeq and is a predicted model, not a curated record.